UCAACCCUUACUUUAAAAAUCUGACACUGC
This 30-nucleotide non-coding RNA is filed under the name Homo sapiens (human). Lineage: Eukaryota; Metazoa; Chordata; Mammalia; Primates; Hominidae. The record is from RNAcentral.